This 758-nucleotide ribosomal RNA is filed under the name Weissella confusa. RNAcentral describes it as "bacterial SSU rRNA". It matches the Rfam family "Bacterial small subunit ribosomal RNA", at positions 173 to 921 of the family's 1533-position model. The record is from RNAcentral. Lineage: Bacteria; Bacillati; Bacillota; Bacilli; Lactobacillales; Lactobacillaceae.
CAAUGACAACCGCAUGGUUGUUAUUUAAAAGAUGGUUCUGCUAUCACUAAGAGAUGGUCCCGCGGUGCAUUAGCUAGUUGGUAAGGUAAUGGCUUACCAAGGCGAUGAUGCAUAGCCGAGUUGAGAGACUGAUCGGCCACAAUGGGACUGAGACACGGCCCAUACUCCUACGGGAGGCAGCAGUAGGGAAUCUUCCACAAUGGGCGAAAGCCUGAUGGAGCAACGCCGCGUGUGUGAUGAAGGGUUUCGGCUCGUAAAACACUGUUGUAAGAGAAGAAUGACAUUGAGAGUAACUGUUCAAUGUGUGACGGUAUCUUACCAGAAAGGAACGGCUAAAUACGUGCCAGCAGCCGCGGUAAUACGUAUGUUCCAAGCGUUAUCCGGAUUUAUUGGGCGUAAAGCGAGCGCAGACGGUUAUUUAAGUCUGAAGUGAAAGCCCUCAGCUCAACUGAGGAAUUGCUUUGGAAACUGGAUGACUUGAGUGCAGUAGAGGAAAGUGGAACUCCAUGUGUAGCGGUGAAAUGCGUAGAUAUAUGGAAGAACACCAGUGGCGAAGGCGGCUUUCUGGACUGUAACUGACGUUGAGGCUCGAAAGUGUGGGUAGCAAACAGGAUUAGAUACCCUGGUAGUCCACACCGUAAACGAUGAGUGCUAGGUGUUUGAGGGUUUCCGCCCUUAAGUGCCGCAGCUAACGCAUUAAGCACUCCGCCUGGGGAGUACGACCGCAAGGUUGAAACUCAAAGGAAUUGACGGGGACC